GUUGUAAGGGAAGAAUAACUGAAUUCAGAGAAAGUUUUCAGCUUGACGGUACCUUACCAGAAAGGGAUGGCUAAAUACGUGCCAGCAGCCGCGGUAAUACGUAUGUCCCGAGCGUUAUCCGGAUUUAUUGGGCGUAAAGCGAGCGCAGACGGUUUAUUAAGUCUGAUGUGAAAUCCCGAGGCCCAACCUCGGAACUGCAUUGGAAACUGAUUUACUUGAGUGCGAUAGAGGCAAGUGGAACUCCAUGUGUAGCGGUGAAAUGCGUAGAUAUGUGGAAGAACACCAGUGGCGAAAGCGGCUUGCUAGAUCGUAACUGACGUUGAGGCUCGAAAGUAUGGGUAGCAAACGGGAUUAGAUACCCCGGUAGUCCAUACCGUAAACGAUGGGUGCUAGUUGUUAAGAGGUUUCCGCCUCCUAGUGACGUAGCAAACGCAUUAAGCACCCCGCCUGAGGAGUACGGCCGCAAGGCUAAAACUUAAAGGAAUUGACGGGGACCCGCACAAGCGGUGGAGCAUGUGGUUUAAUUCGAAGAUACGCGAAAAACCUUACCAGGUCUUGACAUACCAAUGAUCGCUUUUGUAAUGAAAGCUUUUCUUCGGAACAUUGGAUACAGGUGGUGCAUGGUCGUCGUCAGCUCGUGUCGUGAGAUGUUGGGUUAAGUCCCGCAACGAGCGCAACCCUUGUUAUUAGUUGCCAGCAUUUAGUUGGGCACUCUAAUGAGACUGCCGGUGAUAAACCGGAGGAAGGUGGGGACGACGUCAGAUCAUCAUGCCCCUUAUGACCUGGGCAACACACGUGCUACAAUGGGAAGUACAACGAGUCGCAAACCGGCGACGGUAAGCUAAUCUCUUAAAACUUCUCUCAGUUCGGACUGGAGUCUGCAACUCGACUCCACGAAGGCGGAAUCGCUAGUAAUCGCGAAUCAGCAUGUCGCGGUGAAUACGUUCCCGGGUCUUGUACACACCGCCCGUCAAAUCAUGGG
Molecule: ribosomal RNA, 982 nt
Filed under: Oenococcus oeni
Lineage: Bacteria; Bacillati; Bacillota; Bacilli; Lactobacillales; Lactobacillaceae
Description: bacterial SSU rRNA
Rfam family: Bacterial small subunit ribosomal RNA
Source: RNAcentral